GGCUCCUGACUUGGGACAGGCACAUACAUUUUGAAUGUGGCGGGGUUAAACAUGUUAGCGGGAUCCCAAAUUCAAGUCAAAUUGAUAUUUUAAAACAACAUAAAAGUUAAAAAGUGUAAAAAAAAAAUAUUUUAAUAAAUGUUGAAAAUAUUAUUGUGUUUGUGAGUGGAAAACUACUUAAAAUUGUAGAAAUAUUCAAAAGUAGCUCUCGCGUUUUUGUUCUGCGGCUACGUUAACGGAACAUCAAUCAAGUAAUCGAUCUUCAUGACUAUGGCUUCAAUAUUUAAUGGUAUAAAAUAUCAUAUUCUGCUUGUCGUAGACUCAAAAAGACUUCAAGUUGGAAUAGAUCUACGAAGACUAAAGAACGUUCAUGUGUGGUUUAGCAAUUGUACAUGCCCACGAAACCGACGUCCAGAUAUUGUUCGGAAGAUGUUUUGAGAAGUUCCGAUGCGACCGGACAAGUAAAAUUAAACUGUUACAGUAUAUUACAGAACACAAAACUGGCUAUCUUUGCUGUAAAUACAAGUUAAAAACCUGACAUGGUUUACAUUAAAGCUAAAAAUCCCAAUCCCACGGCAUCAAAUAAUUUAAAAAAAAACAUAUGACCUUUAACAUUGGAGGUCUAAACUAGCAUUGAGCCGUGUCCAGGUCCGAAAUAGAAAAUAAAGAGAUGUGGAGUAAAUGUACACGGGACAAAAUCGCACACAAUAUAUAGAAAAAAUACAAAUUAUUAAUGAACAGGGCUUUUAUGCCUGUUCUUCAUCUUGAAAGGAGCUGGAGGGUCUUCAACGAGGAACUAGACCAUUGAUCCUCAUUAUACAAAAGUAACAUAGGUUAGUGCAUCGGACUAUACAAAAACAUAAGUUCCUGGUUCGAUCACCGUUCCGGUGAGAAAAUUUCCAAUCCACUAUUAAUAAAUAUGUUUAAACUAACAAUAGCCACACACUUGACUUUGUGGAUUACAUUAUUUUUUUCAUCAUCCUACAUAUGUCUUUUGAUAUUGUUCAUACAUGUAAAUACUAAAAGUCUUACACUGUAUCUAUAUAUUUUGCUCCGAGACCAGAACAUAAUAAAAUAGAUAAAUUAAAACUUGCGCUUUAGA
RNAcentral lists this long non-coding RNA (1102 nucleotides) under Mytilus galloprovincialis (Mediterranean mussel). Lineage: Eukaryota; Metazoa; Mollusca; Bivalvia; Mytilida; Mytilidae. The record is from RNAcentral.